AGAUGACCCAGAAGUUCUACUUUUCCAGAACGAUGCCUGAGCUCUCCAGACACACGCCCCUGAAGACGUGAUCAUGGCGAAACCGGUGCUUUGAGUCCUUUGAAACUUCGUCAAUUUGGUGCCACAGAGCAGAACUAGCAUUGGGUAAAAUCUCGACGUACACCAAGCAAAAACUUCAUAUUGCUUAACCCAAGUGACGCCCAGUGAAUAUCGGCAGAUCCAAAUGGGACUUCACGUAGAAUGCAAAAGGAUGGUUGGCAAUGAAGUGCUUGCGACUGAAGCCAGCCACGGGCAUCACCCGG
This is a long non-coding RNA of Drosophila santomea, 302 nucleotides long. RefSeq lists it as uncharacterized. NCBI's taxonomy places the organism in Eukaryota, Metazoa, Arthropoda, Insecta, Diptera, Drosophilidae. The record is from RefSeq and is a predicted model, not a curated record. The transcript is spliced from 3 exons.